AGAGUUUGAUCCUGGCUCAGGACGAACGCUGGCGGUAUGCUUAACACAUGCAAGUCGAACGGAGUACUUAGAUACUUAGUGGCGGACGGGUGAGUAACGCGUGAGAAUCUGCCUUCAGGUUCGGGACAACCACUGGAAACGGUGGCUAAUACCGAAUGUGCAGCAAUGUGAAAAAUUUAUUGCCUGAAGAUGAGCUCGCGUCUGAUUAGCUAGUAGGUGUGGUAAGAGCGCACCUAGGCGACGAUCAGUAGCUGGUCUGAGAGGAUGAUCAGCCACACUGGGACUGAGACACGGCCCAGACUCCUACGGGAGGCAGCAGUGGGGAAUUUUCCGCAAUGGGCGAAAGCCUGACGGAGCAAUACCGCGUGAGGGAGGAAGGCUCUUGGGUUGUAAACCUCUUUUCUCAAGGAAGAAAAAAAUGACGGUACUUGAGGAAUAAGCAUCGGCUAACUCCGUGCCAGCAGCCGCGGUAAUACGGAGGAUGCAAGCGUUAUCCGGAAUGAUUGGGCGUAAAGCGUCCGCAGGUGGCUAUGUAAGUCUGCUGUUAAAGAGUCUGGCUCAACCAGAUAAAGGCAGUGGAAACUACAUGGCUAGAGUGCGUUCGGGGCAGAGGGAAUUCCUGGUGUAGCGGUGAAAUGCGUAGAGAUCAGGAAGAACACCGGUGGCGAAAGCGCUCUGCUAGGCCGCAACUGACACUGAGGGACGAAAGCUAGGGGAGCGAAUGGGAUUAGAUACCCCGGUAGUCC
This 746-nucleotide ribosomal RNA is filed under the name uncultured cyanobacterium. RNAcentral describes it as "bacterial SSU rRNA". It matches the Rfam family "Bacterial small subunit ribosomal RNA", at positions 8 to 796 of the family's 1533-position model. The record is from RNAcentral. Lineage: Bacteria; Bacillati; Cyanobacteriota.